RNAcentral lists this ribosomal RNA (1218 nucleotides) under Triticum aestivum (bread wheat). RNAcentral's name for it is "partial small subunit ribosomal RNA". Lineage: Eukaryota; Viridiplantae; Streptophyta; Magnoliopsida; Poales; Poaceae. The record is from RNAcentral.
AUGGUCACGGCGGCGGCGCAGCUGCUGGAGGAGGCUCGGGCGCCGGAGUUCGCGGCGUGGAUGCUCGGUGUGCGGCGGCGGAUCCACCAGCACCCGGAGCUGGCCUUCCAGGAGCACCGCACCUCCGCGCUCGUUCGCGCCGAGCUCGAUGCCAUCGGCGUCCCCUGCGCCUGGCCCGUCGCCCGCACCGGCGUCGUCGCCACCAUCGCCGGUGGUGCUGGCCCGGGCCCCGUGUUCGCACUCCGGGCCGACAUGGACGCGCUGCCCAUCCAGGAGAUGGUGGAGUGGGAGCUCAAGAGCAAGGAGGACGGCAAGAUGCACGCCUGCGGCCACGACGCCCACACCGCCAUGCUCCUCGGCGCCGCCAGGCUGCUCCGGUCCCGCAAGGAUCAUCUCAAGGGCACGGUGAAGCUCGUGUUCCAGCCGGCGGAGGAGGGCCACGCCGGCGGGUACCACGUGCUGCAGGAAGGCGUACUGGACGACGUCGAUGCCAUCUUCGCUGUGCACAUCGACACGCACCUGCCGGUAGGCACCGUCGGCUCUAGGCCUGGGCCGUUCCUCGCCGGAUCUGCUCGCUUCAAGGCUAUCAUCACCGGGAAGGGUGGUCACGGAGCUGUGCCCCAUGCCGCCAUUGAUCCCGUCGUUGCCGCCUCCUCGGCCGUCCUUAGCCUCCAACAACUCGUUGCUCGCGAGACCGACCCCCUCCAGAGCGCGGUGGUGUCGGUGACCUUUAUCAAAGGAGGUGAGGCUUUCAACGUCAUCCCGGAAUCUGUGACCUUGGGUGGCACCUUCAGGAGCAUGACAACAGAAGGACUAUCCUAUCUCAUGAGGAGGAUCAAAGAGGUGAUCGAGGGGCAAGCGGUGGUGGGUCGGUGCACGGCGACGGUGGACUUCAUGGAGGAGGAGCUUCGGCCGUAUCCCGCAACCGUGAAUGACGUCGGCGUGUACGCACACGCAAAGGCAGUGGCGGAGGAGAUGCUCGGAGGUACGAACAUGCGGUUGUGUCCUCAGGUGAUGGCGGCGGAGGACUUUGGGUUCUAUGCGCAGAAAUUCCCAGCCGCCUUCUUUAGCGUCGGUGUCCGCACCAGCGAGGAGAUCACCCACGUGCACACGCCACACUUGGUGGUCGGUGAAGAUGCGCUCCCUGUCGGGGCCGCGCUGCAUGCUGCUGUGGCCAUUGAGUUCUUGAACAAGCAUGUUGCCUCUCCUCUUUCUUGA